GGGAGUGUCGCAUAGUGGCUAUUGCAGCAGACUGUAAAUCUGUCACCUCACGGUAUCGCUGGUUCGAGUCCAGCCACUCCCACGA
RNAcentral lists this transfer RNA (85 nucleotides) under Fluviicola chungangensis. Its description in RNAcentral is "Fluviicola sp. MAH-3 tRNA-Tyr". It matches the Rfam family "tRNA". Rfam says of the family: Transfer RNA (tRNA) molecules are approximately 80 nucleotides in length. Their secondary structure includes four short double-helical elements and three loops (D, anti-codon, and T loops). Lineage: Bacteria; Pseudomonadati; Bacteroidota; Flavobacteriia; Flavobacteriales; Crocinitomicaceae. The record is from RNAcentral.